ACUCUUUAGCGUUGGGAUGAUUCCUUGAAUUAACCUAGUCGGGCGAUUAGCCAGACUCUAACUUAUUGAGCACA
Molecule: small RNA, 74 nt
Filed under: Pseudoalteromonas sp. 3J6
Lineage: Bacteria; Pseudomonadati; Pseudomonadota; Gammaproteobacteria; Alteromonadales; Pseudoalteromonadaceae
Rfam family: Retron msr RNA
About the family: Retron elements are found in a wide range of mainly Gram-negative bacteria. The retron encodes a reverse transcriptase that is responsible for the production of a small satellite DNA called msDNA (multi-copy single-stranded DNA). msDNA has both DNA (encoded by the retron msd gene) and RNA (encoded by the msr gene) components.
Source: RNAcentral